This is a long non-coding RNA of Bombus huntii, 1607 nucleotides long. RefSeq lists it as uncharacterized. Lineage: Eukaryota; Metazoa; Arthropoda; Insecta; Hymenoptera; Apidae. The transcript is spliced from 4 exons. The record is from RefSeq and is a predicted model, not a curated record.
GAGCCAGCGAGCGUUCCGAAGCGGGUGGAGGCGCACAGAGGCGGAGUUUCGCGGCCACAGCGCCGUUCAACUUAUCAGAGACCUCCCACGUCUGGUUCUCCGCCUCCAACGGUUGGAACAGCCAAAAAUUCUCGAGAUUGUAUGAAAAACUCCGCAAUUGACGCAGUGCGUUGGGUGAAUUAUUUUUAUUGAGGCUGGAGAAAAAAGCAACAGUUACAUAAAUAAGGAUGUCUGACUAUUCAUGGUUGUUGAUCUGUUGGGGCGUUAUUUGUUAUGCUUCCAGCAGCAAGUUUGUAAAGAGGUAGAGUGGUAUGAAACAAAUAUUGUAUUUAGAAUAAUGUUCUGAACGACAAUAUUAUUUAUUGGUCAAAAGUUUUACAAGCUGUUGUUGGAAUUUCCGGGUAGGGUGACUUCAGUAUAAAUUAAGUUCUCCUAGAGAGUACCAGUUUGUCAAUGAGAUUAAAAUAUAUAUAUUUACUCCUAAGUAUCAAUCAGUCAGUAUAAUUUAGAUAAAAUUAGAUUCAGCAUAAUUAAUAAUAAAAUUGCAUCUGUCCAGCUGUCCUGAGGUGAAAACUCCUCAGAGCCUGUUCUGUUCGGUAUUCUUCAACCUCCACCACCACAAAACAUGUACAUAUUGGUGUGCUCUACUUUGUAAAGAAUUGGUCCAACACGAGUCAUCAAGUGCAAUUAUGUAACCAGUGCUCAGGUGGCGUUUAAGAAAUCAUAUUAGGCAACCGUGUUUUGCACGAUAAUCAUUACCUACAAUCCUACUGGAAUUAAGGUCGCCGAAAGAAUCGCUGAACUGAUUGGAAAACGCCUGGUCAGGAUUUCAUAUGCCCGGUCUGACCAUAGAGUUGCCGUUUCCACUGUGCCGGUUUCAAUCAGCGCGCACGCACAGCAUCGGGGAUGUUCAUUUAACAGGAUAGAGGGGAAGGAAAAACGGUCGCCAUAUUUUGGGCGGAGACUGCGAUACAUUUGCCUGUUUCAUUGGAUGAAAAGAUCGAUCUGGUGCAUCAGCUGCACGCGCCUGCCCAGUGAACAUUCUCUGAUACCUUGCGACUCGUUUCACUUAGCAGUAGUACUGUACCGAGUACCAUUUCAACCCCCUAAAAGCGAUACUCAUUGCUUUCCAGAAAAAGUGUACGCUUCGAGUACCUUUAUUGGAAGAAAACUGUACUGAAACAUUUUCCAGGCAGUUCUGGAAUAGUCUUAUGUAAUUAUGGGAGGUAGGAUUCAGAGGAACAACGAUGCAUUUAUUCUGGUGAAGUUCCUGAGAGCCAGUUUCUUUUCACGGUGUCGCUAUCGGAAUCGAAAUCUCCGGGCAAAUAAACAGCGCACAAGUUCCCAGCCAUUGAUCGUGAGCAAUAUAAAUACUUACUUCCUACGUGAUGUAGGUACGAUUCUGAGAAAUAGGCUUGUCAUAUAUGUAUACAUGCCACUGAUUACGUAAUACGAGGCUACGUGAUUUAGGCAGGCUGCUGAUAACGACUGUGAAAUAGAAGAGCUUACGUUUCUUCCAUCGACCAUCUAAUCAACCAAAAUUCUUGCUUCGUUUUAAAUUGCGUACCAUUGACCAUAUAAUACUUAAUCUGUUAACAAUAUAACAU